Molecule: ribosomal RNA, 253 nt
Filed under: uncultured bacterium
Lineage: Bacteria
Description: partial 16S ribosomal RNA
Rfam family: Bacterial small subunit ribosomal RNA
Source: RNAcentral
UACGAAGGUGGCAAGCGUUGUUCGGAUUUACUGGGCGUACAGGGAGCGUAGGCGGUUGGAUAAGCCCUCCGUGAAAUCUCCAGGCUUAACCUGGAAAGUGCAGAGGGGACUGUUCAGCUAGAGGAUGGGAGAGGAGCGCGGAAUUCCCGGUGUAGCGGUGAAAUGCGUAGAGAUCGGGAGGAAGGCCGGUGGCGAAGGCGGCGCUCUGGAACAUCUCUGACGCUGAGGCUCGAAAGCGUGGGGAGCAAACAGG